GACGAACGCUGGCGGCGUGCUUAACACAUGCAAGUCGAACGGUGAAGCCCUUCGGGGUGGAUCAGUGGCGAACGGGAGCGUAACACGUGAGCAACCUGCCCCUGGCUCUGGGACAACCACUGGAAACGGUGGCUAAUACCGGAUACGACCCGCCUCGGCAUCGACUGUGGGUGGAAAGUUUUUCGGCUGGGGAUGGGCUCGCGGCCUAUCAGCUUGUUGGUGGGGUGAGGGCUCACCAAGGCGACGACGGGUAGCCGGCCUGAGAGGGCGACCGGCCACACUGGGACUGAGACACGGCCCAGACUCCUACGGGAGGCAGCAGUGGGGAAUAUUGCACAAUGGGCGAAAGCCUGAUGCAGCGACGCCGCGUGAGGGAUGACGGCCUUCGGGUUGUAAACCUCUUUCAGCUCCGAAGAAGCGAAAGUGACGGUAGGAGCAGAAGAAGCACCGGCUAACUACGUG
This 462-nucleotide ribosomal RNA is filed under the name uncultured bacterium. RNAcentral's name for it is "partial 16S ribosomal RNA". It matches the Rfam family "Bacterial small subunit ribosomal RNA", at positions 28 to 507 of the family's 1533-position model. The record is from RNAcentral.